GGGAGUCGGAUGAGCUGAGAGGGUCACGUCCGGUUCUGAGAGGGCCUGGGUAUAAGACUCCCCAGGGCUACUUACU
This 76-nucleotide non-coding RNA is filed under the name Carboxydocella thermautotrophica. RNAcentral also lists the same sequence under 1 other name. Lineage: Bacteria; Bacillati; Bacillota; Clostridia; Eubacteriales; Clostridiales Family XVI. Incertae Sedis. The record is from RNAcentral.